GACACCCCAGUCUGUGCAUACUUUUUU
This 27-nucleotide non-coding RNA is filed under the name Bombyx mori (domestic silkworm). The record is from RNAcentral. Lineage: Eukaryota; Metazoa; Arthropoda; Insecta; Lepidoptera; Bombycidae.